Molecule: ribosomal RNA, 531 nt
Filed under: uncultured bacterium
Lineage: Bacteria
Description: bacterial SSU rRNA
Rfam family: Bacterial small subunit ribosomal RNA
Source: RNAcentral
UUUGUAGUUCGAGUCGGUCGUCGAACGGAACGAACGGACGUCGGUCGGGCGGUGGAGUUAGGUACGAUGUCAAGUACGUAACGGUAAGUCUAUCUUCUAGGGGUGAGAGAGUGGCGAACUGGUGAGUAACACGUAGGUUAUCUACCCUCAAGACGGGGACAACCCAGGGAAACUUGGGCUAAUACCGGAUGUGAGCAACUUUUAGUUGUUUGAAAGGUGGCGUAAGCUGUCGCUUGGGGAUGAGCCUGCGUCCUAUUAGUUAGUUGGUGAGGUAACGGCUCACCUAGGCAAUGAUAGGUAGGCGGCCUUAACGGGUGGUCGCCCACACUGGGAUUGAGAUACGGCCCAGACUCCUACGGGAGGCAGCAGUCGAGAAUAGUCUACAAUGGUCGGAAGACUGAUAGUGCGACGCCGCGUGAACGAUGAAUCCCUUCGGGGUGUAAAGUUCUUUUAUAUGUGAGCAGUGCUUCUUAUAUUAACAGUAUGGGGAGAGAGAUAUUAGCAUAUGAAUAAGCAACGGCUAACUCCGUG